This 253-nucleotide unclassified non-coding RNA is filed under the name Hevea brasiliensis (rubber tree). Lineage: Eukaryota; Viridiplantae; Streptophyta; Magnoliopsida; Malpighiales; Euphorbiaceae. The record is from RNAcentral.
GAAAGAAGGGAAAAUGGACAUUUGUGGUGAACCAGAGUAUGUAAGAGCUUGUUGUGAAGCUAGCUUGAAGCGACUAGAUAUCGACUGCAUCGAUCUUUAUUAUGUUCAUCGGAUUGAUAUUCGAGUGCCUAUUGAAAUCACGAUGGGAGAACUGAAGAAAUUUGUUGAAGAGGGUAAAAUCAAAUAUAUAGGUUUAUCUGAGGCUUGCGCAGCAACAAUCAGAAGGGCACACGCGGUGCAUCCAAUAACAGCU